UACAGAGACCCCGAGCAUUAUCCGGAAUUACUGGGCGUAAAGAGCGAGCAGCCGGUCGUGUUAGUCCGAUGUAAAACCAUGGGGCCCAACUCCAUGCCCGCAUUGGAAACGGCACGACUAGAGCGGAUGAAAGGGAGGCGGAACGUAUGGUGUAGGGGUGAAAUCCACUGAUAUCAUACGGAACACCAAAAGCGAAGGCAGCCUCCUGGCGUCUUGCUGACGGUCAGUCGCGAAAGCGUGGGGAU
This 245-nucleotide ribosomal RNA is filed under the name uncultured bacterium. RNAcentral's name for it is "partial 16S ribosomal RNA". It matches the Rfam family "Bacterial small subunit ribosomal RNA", at positions 524 to 768 of the family's 1533-position model. The record is from RNAcentral.